RNAcentral lists this ribosomal RNA (399 nucleotides) under uncultured bacterium. RNAcentral's name for it is "partial 16S ribosomal RNA". It matches the Rfam family "Bacterial small subunit ribosomal RNA", at positions 338 to 734 of the family's 1533-position model. The record is from RNAcentral.
CCUACGGGAGGCUGCAGUGAGGAAUAUUGGUCAAUGGGCGCGAGCCUGAACCAGCCAAGUAGCGUGAAGGAUGACUGCCCUACGGGUUGUAAACUUCUUUUAUAAAGGAAUAAAGUGAGGCACGUGUGCCUUUUUGUAUGUACUUUAUGAAUAAGGAUCGGCUAACUCCGUGCCAGCAGCCGCGGUAAUACGGAGGAUCCGAGCGUUAUCCGGAUUUAUUGGGUUUAAAGGGAGCGUAGAUGGGUUGUUAAGUCAGUUGUGAAAGUUUGGGGCUCAACCGUAAAAUUGCAUUUGAUACUGGCAGUCUUGAGUGUAGUUGAGGUAGGCGGAAUUCGUGGUGUAGCGGUGAAAUGCUUAGAUAUCACGAAGAACACCGAUGGCGAAGGCAGCUUACUGGAC